RNAcentral lists this ribosomal RNA (460 nucleotides) under uncultured bacterium. Its description in RNAcentral is "partial 16S ribosomal RNA". It matches the Rfam family "Bacterial small subunit ribosomal RNA", at positions 338 to 795 of the family's 1533-position model. The record is from RNAcentral.
CCUACGGGAGGCAGCAGUGAGGAAUAUUGGUCAAUGGGCGCGAGCCUGAACCAGCCAAGUAGCGUGAAGGAUGACUGCCCUACGGGUUGUAAACUUCUUUUAUAAAGGAAUAAAGUGAGGCACGUGUGCCUUUUUGUAUGUACUUUAUGAAUAAGGAUCGGCUAACUCCGUGCCAGCAGCUGCGGUAAUACGGAGGAUCCGAGCGUUAUCCGGAUUUAUUGGGUUUAAAGGGAGCGUAGAUGGGUUGUUAAGUCAGUGGUGAAAGCUUGAGGCUCAACCGUAAAAUUGCAACUGAUACUGGCAGUCUAGAGUACAGUUGAGGUAGGCGGAAUGCGUGGUGUAGCGGUGAAAUGCUUAGAGAUCAUGAAGAACUCCGAUUGCGAAGGCAGCUUACUAAGCUGCCACUGACAUUGAGGCACGAAAGUGUGGGUAUCAAACAGGAUUAGAUACCCGAGUAGUC